GGGCCCAAUUUCUAAGGGGCACUAUCAGACUGCUUCAUCCCAAGGCUGGGUUUAAAGCCACACCACCUAGAAAACCCUAACACAUGUCGGCUUCAAUGACCAUUCUCCCAUGCCAGCUUGGAUCAGGGACUCAAGAUUAUUGAAUACAGGAAAGGAAGGCAAGAGAGAGGGAAGACCUGUGGCAGAACAGAAUUCAGGAAUGGGAAGGGACUUUGGAGCUUCUCAGGAGCGAUCUUCAGACCAGCAGCAUCUGCAUCGACAUCACCAUCCCCUGGAUGCUUCAGUCACACACGUGAAGAAGGCUUUCCUGGCCAGCCUUAUGGUCCUUGCUACCUUCAUGACUGCAUGCAAUGCACAGUGCUAUGCAAUCACUUUGGACAGUGAUCAAGAAUGCAAGGAUAUUAAUGGAGUCAUACACCCACUGAACUCGAAAUGGACAAAUUCGAACUGUGAGGAGUGUUAUUGCCGUGAACGUGAAAUUAGCUGCUGUAAUUUGUAAGUCUCA
RNAcentral lists this long non-coding RNA (505 nucleotides) under Marmota marmota marmota (Alpine marmot). Its description in RNAcentral is "lncRNA (ENSMMMG00000018892.1)". The record is from RNAcentral. Lineage: Eukaryota; Metazoa; Chordata; Mammalia; Rodentia; Sciuridae.